This 206-nucleotide long non-coding RNA is filed under the name Arachis ipaensis. RNAcentral's name for it is "long non-coding RNA (AIPA_LNC001534)". The record is from RNAcentral. Lineage: Eukaryota; Viridiplantae; Streptophyta; Magnoliopsida; Fabales; Fabaceae.
AGGCUAGAGGCCCUAAGAUAGGCAUUGAAUUGUUGGUGUUGUUGAAUGGUUGAAAUAUAUGAUGUGUUCAUAUAUGUGAUUAUGAAUAUUGAUGCCUUGAUUGUGUGAAAUAUGAGAAAUGCAUGUUGUGAUAUAUGCUUGAUGGAUGAUUGAGGUUGAAUUGAUGGGUGGUACCAUGUUGAUGGUGAGUAUGAUGUUGAUUAUGU